UAUACUCCCAAACAAUUCCAUGUGGAUCAUCCCUAUUGGAUAUUUACAUCCUUCCUGAUGAAAGAACUCUUAACAACAUUGUUCAGCCCUCUAUGGCACCUGUUUGUAGUGCAUGCCGAUGUCGGGAACCAGAGGACCUCCUCAUAAGCUGCCAUCUUUGUCAGAUUCGACAUAUUCAUUCAUAUUGUCUGGACCCUCCCUUGUUACCAUGGACUUGUAUUCACUGUAAGGAUCUGCAGACACUCUACCAUCGAAG
Molecule: unclassified non-coding RNA, 256 nt
Filed under: Hevea brasiliensis (rubber tree)
Lineage: Eukaryota; Viridiplantae; Streptophyta; Magnoliopsida; Malpighiales; Euphorbiaceae
Source: RNAcentral